AUGACCUGUGUGGCGGGGGGACAGGGGUUACCUGGCCGGGGUCCGGCUGCGACGACGAGGGCGGCGGCGGCGGGGGUGGGGGCGUGGCCGGGGGCAUCUCCCCGCUGUAGAGCUGGGGCGGGGGGCGUGUCUCGCGGUGCUGCGGUGGCGCCCGGCGGUACGGCUUCCUGCUGGGGGCGGCGCUGGUCAUCCUGGGCGUGGCGCGGGGGCGUGGCCAGCUGGGGGCUCCGAGUCGUGGUUAUCCUGAGGAGGGGAAGGAGGGGGAGGGGGGGGUCAGCGCCGGAAGCCAAAAGACCCGGUCGGUUCCCCCAGGACCCGGACACUAAGCACUCUACACCCAGCCUGUCUCUCUCCUCCUCACCCUCGGCCUCUCUCCUCCUCACCCUCGGCCUCUCUCCUCCUCACCCUCGGCCUCUCCUCCUCACCCUCGGUCUCUCCUCCUCACCCUCGGCCUCUCUCCUCCUCACCCUCGGCCUCUCUCCUCCUCACCCUCGGCCUCUCUCCUCCUCACCCUCGGCCUCUCUCCUCCUCACCCUCGGCCUCUCUCCUCCUCACCCUCGGCCUCUCUCCUCCUCACCCUCGGCCUCUCUCCUCCUCACCCUCGGCCUCUCUCCUCCUCACCCUCGGCCUCUCUCCUCCUCACCCUCGGCCUCUCCUCCUCACCCUCGGCCUCUCUCCUCCUCACCCUCGGCCUCUCCUCCUCACCCUCGGCCUCUCCUCCUCACCCUCGGUCUCUCUCCUCCUCACCCUCGGUCUCUCUCCUCCUCACCCUCGGUCUCUCUCCUCCUCACCCUCGGUCUCUCUCCUCCUCACCCUCGGUCUCUCCUCCUCACCCUCGGUCUCUCUCCUCCUCACCCUCGGUCUCUCCUCCUCACCCUCGGUCUCUCUCCUCCUCACCCUCGGUCUCUCUCCUCCUCACCCUCGGUCUCUCUCCUCCUCACCCUCGGUCUCUCUCCUCCUCACCCUCGGUCUCUCUCCUCCUCACCCUCGGUCUCUCUCCUCCUCACCCUCGGUCUCUCUCCUCCUCACCCUCGGUCUCUCCUCCUCACCCUCGGUCUCUUCCUCCUCACCCUCGGUCUCUUCCUCCUCACCCUCGGUCUCUCCCUCCUCACCCUCGGUCUCUCCUCCUCACCCUCGGUCUCUUCCUCCUCACCCUCGGUCUCUCCUCCUCACCCUCGGUCUCUCCUCCUCACCCUCGGUCUCUCCUCCUCACCCUCGGUCUCUCCUCCUCACCCUCGGUCUCUCUCCUCCUCACCCUCGGUCUCUCUCCUCCUCACCCUCGGUCUCUCUCCUCCUCACCCUCGGUCUCUCUCCUCCUCACCCUCGGUCUCUCUCCUCCUCACCCUCGGUCUCUCUCCUCCUCACCCUCGGUCUCUCUCCUCCUCACCCUCGGUCUCUCCUCCUCACCCUCGGUCUCUUCCUCCUCACCCUCGGUCUCUUCCUCCUCACCCUCGGUCUCUUCCUCCUCACCCUCGGUCUCUUCCUCCUCACCCUCGGUCUCUUCCUCCUCACCCUCGGUCUCUCCUCCUCACCCUCGGUCUCUCCUCCUCACCCUCGGUCUCUCCUCCUCACCCUCGGUCUCACUCCUCGGUCUCACUCCUCGUCUCUCCCCUCGUCUCUCCUCCUCACCCUCUCUCCUCUACACAUGAAACAUCUCUUCUGUCUGUAUUGCUACACCACCUCUGUCCCUCUUUCUAA
This 1698-nucleotide long non-coding RNA is filed under the name Gadus morhua (Atlantic cod). Its description in RNAcentral is "lncRNA (ENSGMOG00000034007.1)". The record is from RNAcentral. Lineage: Eukaryota; Metazoa; Chordata; Actinopteri; Gadiformes; Gadidae.